UACGAAGGGGGCUAGCGUUGCUCGGAAUCACUGGGCGUAAAGGGUGCGUAGGCGGGUCUUUAAGUCAGGGGUGAAAUCCUGGAGCUCAACUCCAGAACUGCCUUCGAUACUGAAGAUCUUGAGUUCGGGAGAGGUGAGUGGAACUGCGAGUGUAGAGGUGAAAUUCGUAGAUAUUCGCAAGAACACCAGUGGCGAAGGCGGCUCACUGGCCCGGUACUGACGCUGAGGUGCGAAAGCGUGGGGAGCAAACAGG
RNAcentral lists this ribosomal RNA (253 nucleotides) under uncultured bacterium. Its description in RNAcentral is "partial 16S ribosomal RNA". It matches the Rfam family "Bacterial small subunit ribosomal RNA", at positions 524 to 776 of the family's 1533-position model. The record is from RNAcentral.